UGGGUCCUUGACCAAAUUGUUGAUUCGGCACGUGACUGUACUUGCCACUCAGAGAUUAGCCAUGGAGAUCACUUAGCCUGUAAGGAACUCUAGGUCUAGCUGCAGUGGCCGUGUUGUUGUAGAAUCACUGCUAAUACUCAGAGAAAAUUGGCCAGCUUAGUCCCUGUGAGCAAGCAUUAUAACUCCUCCAUACCUGUUUCCUCAUCUAUAAUAUUCAAAUAAGAGUAGUAUGUGCCUCAUAGGUGAUGUAAAGCCCCUGGAACAGUGUCUGUUCCAUAGAAAUUCUUUGAGUGUUAGUUACAUCACUACUCCCCAUUUUCUCCCUUCCCUGCCUGCCCCCUCGGACAGGAUGAAGAAGGCCCCCUGUGUUGCCCCCACCCUGGCUGCUCCCUAAGGGCCCACAUGACCUGCCUGGCAGACGAGUUCCUGCAGGAGGAGCCCGGGCAGCUUCUGCCCCUAGAGGGCCGAUGCCCUGGCUGCAAGAACUCACUGCUGUGGGGAGACCUGAUCCGGCUGUGCCGGAUGGGCUCCGAGGAGGAAGAGGAGAACUUGGAAUUAGAAGAGGAACACUGGACAGACAUGCUAGAGAUCUGACCCUCGGCACCCCUAGCCCUCUACCCAUUCCUUAUCCGUGCCACUGCCUUCGGGUCUCGGCAAUUUUUACUUGAGUACAAUAAAAAGUCUGAGUUAAGGGCA
Molecule: RNA transcript, 696 nt
Organism: Myotis brandtii (Brandt's bat)
Lineage: Eukaryota; Metazoa; Chordata; Mammalia; Chiroptera; Vespertilionidae
Exons: 3
Source: RefSeq, a predicted model, not a curated record